GACGAACGCUGGCGGCGUGCUUAACACAUGCAAGUCGAGCGGUAAGGCCCUUUCGGGGGUACACGAGCGGCGAACGGGUGAGUAACACGUGGGUGACCUGCCCUUAGCUCUGGGAUAAGCCUGGGAAACUGGGUCUAAUACCGGAUAUGACUCCACGGCGCAUGUUGUGGGGUGGAAAGCCUUGUGUGGCUAGAGAUGGGCCCGCGGCCUAUCAGCUUGUUGGUGGGGUGAUGGCCUACCAAGGCGA
RNAcentral lists this ribosomal RNA (247 nucleotides) under uncultured Actinomycetes bacterium. RNAcentral's name for it is "uncultured actinobacterium partial 16S ribosomal RNA". It matches the Rfam family "Bacterial small subunit ribosomal RNA", at positions 28 to 276 of the family's 1533-position model. Lineage: Bacteria; Bacillati; Actinomycetota; Actinomycetes. The record is from RNAcentral.